RNAcentral lists this long non-coding RNA (425 nucleotides) under Ananas comosus (pineapple). Its description in RNAcentral is "long non-coding RNA (ACOM_LNC034538)". Lineage: Eukaryota; Viridiplantae; Streptophyta; Magnoliopsida; Poales; Bromeliaceae. The record is from RNAcentral.
GACUAAAAAUCUCUAGCAGAUAGCAGUAGAAUUUUAUUUUUUACUUUUCGGGUGUUGGAAUGACAUGAAACUUUAAAUAUAGCCUCAUAAAAAUAAUCCCGACAUAUUCCUAAAUUUUUAUAAUUUUCUGACACUGUGAAUUUUCUGCUAAAAUAUCAGCCCCGUUCCUUACAGAAAAUUCUAAAUCAUCUAUUUUCAUUCCAAUUUCAGCACAAGUCAUUUCCGACUUAUAUUUUACUUUAAAUCCAAUAGAAAUAGUAUUUUAUACUAUUUUUAUUUACACUUAAUUUUAUAUUAAAAUUCGGUGCAUUACAUUCUACCCCCCCUAAAAAAAAGUUUCGUCCUCGAAACUUCAAUCACACCUCAACUCGACCUAUCAAGCCAUUGAGGACAUCAACAUAAUUCCCCACUCGCUUCACACUUUU